RNAcentral lists this ribosomal RNA (220 nucleotides) under uncultured bacterium. RNAcentral describes it as "partial 16S ribosomal RNA". It matches the Rfam family "Bacterial small subunit ribosomal RNA", at positions 1277 to 1500 of the family's 1533-position model. The record is from RNAcentral.
UAAACGUCUCAGUUCGGAUUGUAGUCUGCAACUCGACUACAUGAAGCUGGAAUCGCUAGUAAUCGCGAAUCAGAAUGUCGCGGUGAAUACGUUCCCGGUCUUGUACACACCGCCCGUCACACCAUGGGAGUUGGCAACGCCCGAAGUCAGUGACCCAACCGGAAGGAGGGAGCUGCCGAAGGCGGGGCUGAUAACUGGGGUGAAGUCGUAACAAGGUAUC